Molecule: non-coding RNA, 276 nt
Organism: Chiloscyllium plagiosum (whitespotted bambooshark)
Lineage: Eukaryota; Metazoa; Chordata; Chondrichthyes; Orectolobiformes; Hemiscylliidae
Source: RefSeq, a predicted model, not a curated record
GGUGUGGUUGGGCCGAAGGGCCUGUUUCCACACUGAAUGUGAUAACGAAUUCUGGUCAAUUAAGCGUGACCAGGAACCUCCCUCAAUUCCUCCAAGGGAACACAUAAAAAGCAUGACAGGUCGGUAGCUUCUCAGACUCAAAAAGACGGCGACCAGCCAGAGGCGCACACAGAACAGCGAGAGUUCCUUGUCUGGUUCCCAACAGCUUCCUCUGACCAUCUGCUGGACCCGAGAUCGACUGUGUCUGUGAGAGACCCCUGACAGUGAUCGUUCUGG